This 1264-nucleotide long non-coding RNA is filed under the name Heterocephalus glaber (naked mole-rat). RNAcentral describes it as "lncRNA (ENSHGLG00000036108.1)". The record is from RNAcentral. Lineage: Eukaryota; Metazoa; Chordata; Mammalia; Rodentia; Bathyergidae.
AUUUCUUAAAAGCAGAAGAUGAAACUCCCACGGGAAAGAUGUGAAACCCAUUCCUCAAAGAUGACAGUGCUAAGAGGGAGAUGGGAGUGCAGUCUGCCACCCCUGCUAGGAAAUGUAUGAGCGAAUAAAUGAUUGAGUGAACUUUAAUGAAUGAACAAAGAAGUCAAAUAUUCAAUUCAUGUUUUUUAAAAAGUAAACUAAUCUAUUAAGAGCGCAAAGUUGUGAGGCUCUUCUGCCUAAUAGCAACAGCAAUCUGGCUCUUUAGAAAUGAAAAGCAGUCCUUCUCUGAGUCAGCAAUGUCUGGAGACAUUUUGGGCUGUCACACCUAGGGCAGGGGAGCUACUGGCAUGUAGCAAAGAGACGGGGGCUGCGGCUAAACAUCCUGCGCUGUCCAAGACACGCCCUGCCAGUAGUGCUGAGGCCAAGGGAGCUGCUCCCAUGUAGGGGCUGCAUGGGGACUUCGGUGGGGCCGGCACUGCCGGCUGCAGACUGCUGGCAGCAGAAGGUGCCACUGAGACAUUUACUCUAAUUCAAAGCAAAGAUUUGAAAAUUAAAGUGGACAGUGCUAUGGUUUGGAUUUGAAAUGCUCCUUAAAACCCACGUGUAAAGGCUGAGUGAUGGUCUUUUGAAGAAGUGAUUGGAUCCUGAGGGCUCUAACUUCAUCAAGUGGAUUAACCCGUUGACAGGAUCACAAUUUGAUGGCAUUAUUGAGAGGCAAUGGAAACAGAAGGCGAGGCCUCGUUGAAGGGAGUAGUUCAUGCGGUAUCACCUUGGAAACUGUAUCUGCUCCCCAGCCCCUUCUCUGGCUCUUUCCCAUUCUCUUUCCUUCUCAGUUGCUGUGCUAUGAGCAGCUCUCCUCUACCACACCCUUCCAUCAUGAUGUUUCUGCCUCGCCUCAGGCCUAAAACAAUGGAGCAGCUGACCAUGGACUGAACCUCUAAAACCGUAGCAGCCACCUCUGAGGCAGCAUGCUUGGGACCCCCGUGUCCAGUGUUGAAGGGGCAACUCUUGCUGGGGAUCAAGCCGAGGGCCUUGCAUGUGCUAGCUGCCCAGGUAGGGAGGCGUGUUCACGUGAUGAAGGGGUCCCCAGGAAAUAGCUGUGUGCGCGCGAAGAACGCCCGCCGGUGUGUCUUCUCCACGCUUUCUUCUUCCUUCUGGAGGGAGGAACCAAGAGGUGGAAGCGAGUGCAGAAAGCACUUGGAAGGGAAGCCCUGUGGGAAGCCCUGAAGGACAGACAGACUCAAGGACUGGAAUCUUCAUUUGC